Molecule: long non-coding RNA, 2098 nt
Organism: Papaver somniferum (opium poppy)
Lineage: Eukaryota; Viridiplantae; Streptophyta; Magnoliopsida; Ranunculales; Papaveraceae
Exons: 14
Source: RefSeq, a predicted model, not a curated record
UAAAUCUUCUAAUUUAUGGAUGGCUAGAGAUGAAGCGUAGCCUUAUCUAUAUCAGAUUAGCAGAGAGAAACCAUUUUCUUAUCAAACCUACUUCUUCUUCUGCAGAUCUACACAUGGGUUUUACUUGGGAAGAAGGAGAAUAUGAGUUACGCUGAUAUCUGGAAUUCUCAUCCUAAGAUUAUGGUCCUGGAUAUCGUAUUUGGUCUUGGAAUGGACAGUAAUGCCGAUCUUGUUUAGGUAACUACGAUUGAAUUCCACUGACGGUUCAGGUGAUGAUGGAACAGAAGAGUGGUUUGUUUCAAAUGAAAGAUCUGUAGUGAGUUUGGCCUCGUUUGUUAAGGGAAUCAAUCUUAAAUAAGAGACCAACAGAACUGCACAAUAAGUGUUAAAGAAAAAUCCUGAAAGAAAGAAAAGGGUUGUUGCUAUAUCACCUUAGCUCAUAAGUUUCAAUCGGUUACCUUUAUUGAAGAGAUUGAUAGCUUUUUUGGGUAGCUACAUGUAGCUAACUGCGAAGCUGUGAAAAAACAUGAAAAUAGAGUUCCAUGGAUGAGAGAAAAUGACUUAAUAGCUAAAAAAGUCUGUUGCUUAUGAAUUGUAGCUCAGUUUGCUGCCAUAUAAGCAGCCAUAAGCAACAAUUCAUCUCCAUCACUAUAUUAGGCUAACACCAGUUCAGACUUCCUCUUACACAUUCCUCCAAGCAGUUUUUGACCAUGCAUACCCAGUUGCUCUGUUGGAUGAGGAGAAAGUUCUUUCUAUAGGAAGGCAGAUUAGUGCAGUAGGUAUUUCUAGCUCCAAAGAUGGGGUUCCACAAAUCAAAUCAUCACAGGACCUCCCCUGUUUCUUGACUGAGAAGACUAAAGAUCAGCUGGUGGUGGAUAUGGCGUUUAGUACAAAGUGUUUAUUUUGGGGUGGACUUAUUCUAGGGUCGCUUUCAAUCGGAAUACUAGGCUAUGCUACCAUCAGCUGGUGUUGAGCAGCUGUAUGAAUGUUGAAACAUUACUUUCUUUUUCUUUUUUGCGAAAGGAAGGGUGUGCGUGUUUCCCUUACAGUGCAAAUUUCACAGUUGGUGGUGAGACGGAAGAGCGCAUGAUGAUGACUGGUCUACAUAGUGUUUGCGAUAUAUUCUGUGUUGGUUGUAGAUCAAUUGUGGGAUGGAAGUAGUUGCACAAGAGAAGAGUCAGAGAUAUAAAGAAGGAAAAUUCAUUCUUGAGAGGUUUCAGGUGUUGGGUCCAGAAGGGACCUUGUAUUAUUUCAACAACUAUCCUGAAGCUAGAGGUAGCGAAGCAGAUGAUAUGUGAAGAUGUUAACAGAUAACACCUUAUGUAAUGCUCAACCAUAUGAUAUUUGAUAACUGCUGAUCCCGACUGUACAUUCUCUCCCAACCAUGUAUAAGCUCUCUCCAAUUUCAUGUAGAUUUUCAGAUGUUUGAUUUUGUUCAACACCAUAGUAUAGGACCACCAUUAUAAUGCUGCAACUCUUAAGCAGUAAUGUCGAUAUCGGCUCAAUUGCUGGUUCAUUUCUUUUGGUUAUAAUGCACAUGGUAUAUGAGACUGGUUGGUGAGUUUGAGCAUAUAGACUGUCUAUAGAAUAUUCUCAACAACAAAUUGAUGGCAAAACAUUGUUUCUCAACUGAGUGAAUGAAGGCAUAAAUGGUGAAGUCUUGCGGGUGCUGAUGGUAAAAAAGGUGGUUGUGGGCAUCAAGCGACUCCAUACCCAUUGGAAGGAUUUUAAUGGUGUCUGAUAUUGUUGUUGAAGGAUUUGAACAUUCAUUCACCUCUUGAUGCUGUCAGGGAGAUGAUGAAUGUCGUCUCUCUCUUCUCGAUGGUCUCAUGAGGGUCACUGAUGUCAUGGUUGAUGAUAAGAUCACUGUUGCUGCUGGAUAAGGAGAUGAUCGGAAGGGUUGUGCAUCUGCAGUUCUGCUCACAAGCAAGCUGGUGCCAAGGUCAUAAUGAUUGAAAUUGUUGUUAAAAUUUUUAGGACUUGUAUUACGUCUGUUUAUGAAACCUUGUUUUUAUGAGGACAUCUCAAUGUAAUGGAUCAGUCAUUUUAUUAGAUGAAUCAGGUUUAUAUGGAAUUAGAAUUUUAGUUGUCAUUUGAA